Molecule: long non-coding RNA, 855 nt
Filed under: Homo sapiens (human)
Lineage: Eukaryota; Metazoa; Chordata; Mammalia; Primates; Hominidae
Description: HSALNT0283989
Source: RNAcentral
CGCCUUGCAGUUUGAUCUCAGACUGCUGUGCUAGCAAUCAGCGAGAUUCCGUGGGUGUAGGACCCUCCGAGCCAGGUGUGGGAUAUAGUCUCGUGCUGCACCGUUUUUUAAGCCGGUCUGAAAAACGCAAUAUUAGGGUGGGAGUGACCCGAUUUUCCAGGUCAAGGCUGAAUCAACAUAUAUGCCCUAUCUUUGGACUGAAUUGAUUGGUUAACUGAAUAAUUUAGUCAAAACAAUUGUGAAUUUGAGACAUUUAUAUCACUCCUUUUUCCAACAUGAUGUUUUCUGCUUGGCUGAUUUGAAAUUUUGGAUGGGUGAGAAAAAUCUAUACUACUAUGACUGAAUGUUUAUUUAUAUAUUUAUUUAUUGAGCAUUAAUUUUUUAAAUUCUGACAAUACACAUGAUGUGAUGUAUACCUUCUUUAAAAAUAUUAAUUGUAUAUUAUUGUUACUAUCUGUGCACUGUUGUACAGCAGAUUGCUAGAACUUUUUCACCUUGUAUGACUGAAAUUUUCUACCAAUCAAACUGCAACUAAUUGCCCCCCUCCCAGCCCCUGGCAAGCACCAUUCUACCAUCUGCUUCAAUGAAUUUGACUACUUACUUAAGAUACUUCACAUAAGUGGAACUAUGCGGCAUUUGUCUUUUUGUGACGGGUUUAUUUCAGUUAGCAUAAUGUCCUCAAAAUCCAUGUUGCAGAAUUGUAUGUGACAGAAUUUUCUUAUUUUUUAAACCUGAAUAGCAUUUCACUGUGUGUACAUAAUAUUAAUACAUUUUCUUUAUUAAUUUAUCCAUUGAUGGACAUUCAGUUUGUUUCUACCUCUUCGCUAAUGUGAAUAAUGCUGCAAUAAACAUGGC